UACAGAGGGGGCAAGCGUUGUUCGGAAUUACUGGGCGUAAAGGGCGCGUAGGCGGCCCUCUAAGUCGAACGUGAAAUCCCUGGGCUCAACCCAGGAACUGCGUCCGAGACUGGGGGGCUCGAAUCCGGGAGAGGGAUGUGGAAUUCCAGGUGUAGCGGUGAAAUGCGUAGAUAUCAGGAGGAACACCGGUGGCGAAGGCGGGUCUCUGGGCCGAUACUGACGCUGAGGAGCGAAAGCGUGGGGAGCGAACAGG
This 253-nucleotide ribosomal RNA is filed under the name uncultured bacterium. RNAcentral describes it as "partial 16S ribosomal RNA". It matches the Rfam family "Bacterial small subunit ribosomal RNA", at positions 524 to 776 of the family's 1533-position model. The record is from RNAcentral.